Molecule: ribosomal RNA, 439 nt
Filed under: uncultured bacterium
Lineage: Bacteria
Description: bacterial SSU rRNA
Rfam family: Bacterial small subunit ribosomal RNA
Source: RNAcentral
GAUGAAUGCUGGCGGCGUGCCUAAUACAUGCAAGUCGAGCGGUAAGGCCCUUCGGGGUACACGAGCGGCGGACGGCUGAGUAACGCGUGGGAACAUGCCCCAAAGUGAGGGAUAACGCACCGAAAGGUGUGCUAAUACCGCAUAUGGUCUUCGGAUUAAAGGAUUUAUCCGCUUUGGGAGUGGCCCGCGUACGAUUAGAUUGUUGGUGAGGUAACGGCUCACCAAGUCGACGAUCGUUAACUGGUCUGAGAGGAUGAUCAGUCAGACUGGAACUGAGACACGGUCCAGACUCCUACGGGAGGCAGCAGUAAGGAAUCUUCCACAAUGGGCGAAAGCCUGAUGGAGCAACGCCGCGUGCAGGAUGAAGGCCUCGGUCGUAAACUGCUUUAUUGAGUGAAGAAUAAUGACGGUAACUACAUGAAUAAGACACCGGCUAACU